CGGAAUUCAUUCCAGUCACCGUCCUUGAUAUGGAUUGGAUGUCGCUAUAAAGAAACCAAGAAGGUGGCAUUAGAAAUCAAGAAGAAAAUCACAGAGACCCCAGCAUGGAAAUGGGUGCAGCAUGUGAGCUGUGAGUGCCCCAAACACAGAUGGCCCAGGAACUCAGCAAAGGCUUCCACUUCUUGUUUGACCCAAGAAAUGUCAUGCAAAGGAACUCCUGCAAACCUUGCCCAUCUCCACACCUACACCCCAGGGAAGCUGCCACCUGGGCUGGGAUGCCCACUGCCCCAGGCUGAGCAAGGGCACUUCUUUGGGGAGCUAAAAUCCUUCAGCCCCUGGACCAUCACCCUCUUUUCUCAGAGAAAGCCCUCCUCCCAGGCCUGCUCUUUCAUCAGUACUCAGCUCAAGAAGAUGCCAGAGGUCUUCUCCUUUGCAGAGCCUGGAUCCACUUUCUCAAAUCCCCAGGCACCCAGAGGCAAGUAGGGCAGAGACAUCUUUGCUGAAGGCCCUGUGAAGCCCAAGAGCACAAGAGAUUUGCCCUGGCCUGAGGGGGCUCCCAGUACAAAGGACUUUUAGCUUUAAAAAACCAGGAUGGGUCCAGGCAAACCUCACUGUAGUGAGGAUCUCUAUGCUGUCCCUGAUUGGUGAGUCUCUCGUCUAUACAUAGAACCUUACAUUUGGCUUCAUUUGUAGGAGUUUAGUUUGAAACAUUUACUUUACUAUUGAGCACUAACGUUUUCCAAGCAUUUUCUUGCAUACUGGAUCUCGCAGGUUUGCGAUGGACUUUUUCAACUCUGAAAACUUUCUGAUUUAUCCACUGAGUCACAUUCUUGUCACUCUACUGAACAUGUACAGUAUUCCAUGAGGCUGGGAUGAGGUUUUAGCUGCUAUUGAAAAGCCCAUGGCCUGGAAUGACCACACUUCAUUUCUGCAGAGAUGCCUGUGCCAACAGGGCCAAGAGGUCACUGACAGCAGGUAGGAGAUGGAUUUGGAGUUCCUGGGUCUCUCUCUGGUCUUGGUAAUUGUAACUGUACUGGCCUCUCCAACGGUUGUUUUCUUAACUGAAAUUGCCGUAGUUUUUCACUUUGAAACAUCUAGGCUGUAUUCACACACCAAUGUUUAUAGUGGCUGUCUUAUCCCGUUAGGGCUGCUAUAAUAAAAUACCAUACUGAGUGGCUAUUCAGAACAGAAAUUUAUUUCUCACAGUUCUGGAGGAUGGAAGCUCAAGAUCAAGGAACCAGAAGAUUUGGUGUCCGGUGAGGACCCACUUUCUGGUUCAUAGACAGCCAUCUUCUUGCUAUAACCUCACAUCGAAGAAGGGGUAAUGGAGUUUUCUGAGGUGUCUAUUAUAAAGGCCUAAGCUUAUUCAUGAGGGCUCUGCUCUCAUGACCUGAUCACCUCCUAAAGUCCUCACCUACAAAUACCAACACAUUAGGGCUUAGGUUUCAACAUAAGAAUAUUGAGGCAUAGAUAUUCAGUCUGUAGCUGCAGCAUUAUUCACAAUAGCCAAAAGGUAGAAACAACCCAAAUGUCCAUCAGUAGAUAAAUGGAUAAACAAAAUGUGGUGUGUAUAUAAGUGGAAUAUUACUCAACCUUAAAACGAAAGGAAAUUCUGACAUGUGACAAUAUGGAUGAACUUUGAAGACAUUGUGCUAAAUGAAAUCGGUCAAUACAAAAUGACAAAUAUUAUAUGCGUCUAUUUAUUUAUUUAUUUAGUUAGUUAUUUGAGACAGAGUUCUCACUCUGUUGCCCAGGCUAGAGUGCGGUGGCGUGAUCUUGGCUCACUGCAACUUCCACCUUUCAGUCUCAAGCAAUUCUCAUGCUGCAGCCUCCUCCUGAGUAGAUGGGACUACAGGCAUAAGUCACCAUGCCCGGCUAAUUUUUGUAUUUUUAGUAGAGACAGAGUUUCAGCAUGUUGGCCAGGCUGGUCUCAAACUCUUGACUUCAAGUGAUCUGCCUGCCUCAGCCUCCCGAAGUGCUGGGAUUACAGGUGUGAGCCACCACUCUCAGCCUGCUUCCACUUAUAUGAGAUACCUAAAGUAUUUAAAUUCACAGAGCUAGAAAGUAGAGUAGUUGUUACCAGGGGCUGGGGGCUGGGGGAUGAAGAGUUAAUAUUUAAUGGGUACAGAGUUUCAGUUUGGGAAGAUGAAACCAUUCUGGAGGUAGAUGGUGGUGAUGGUUGCACAACAAUGUGAAUGUACUUCAUGCCACUGAAUUGUACACUUAAAAAUGGUUAUGUUACGUAUAUUUUAUCACAUGAAAAAA
This is a long non-coding RNA of Homo sapiens (human), 2265 nucleotides long. RefSeq annotates it as IL3 antisense RNA 1. The record is from RefSeq and is a predicted model, not a curated record. The transcript is spliced from 5 exons. NCBI's taxonomy places the organism in Eukaryota, Metazoa, Chordata, Mammalia, Primates, Hominidae.